CCUACGGGAGGCAGCAGUGAGGAAUAUUGGUCAAUGGACGCAAGUCUGAACCAGCCAUGCCGCGUGCAGGAAGACGGCUCUAUGAGUUGUAAACUGCUUUUGUACGAGGGUAAACGCAGAUACGCGUAUCUGUCUGAAAGUAUCGUACGAAUAAGGAUCGGCUAACUCCGUGCCAGCAGCCGCGGUAAUACGGAGGAUUCAAGCGUUAUCCGGAUUUAUUGGGUUUAAAGGGUGCGUAGGCGGUCGGAUAAGUUAGAGGUGAAAUCCCGAGGCUCAACUUCGGAAUUGCCUCUGAUACUGUUCGGCUAGAGAGUAGUGGCGGUAGGCGGAAUGUAUGGUGUAGCGGUGAAAUGCUUAGAGAUCAUACAGAACACCGAUUGCGAAGGCAGCUUACCAAGCUACUUCUGACGUUGAGGCACGAAAGCGUGGGUAGCAAACAGGAUUAGAUACCCUUGUAGUC
This 460-nucleotide ribosomal RNA is filed under the name uncultured bacterium. RNAcentral describes it as "partial 16S ribosomal RNA". It matches the Rfam family "Bacterial small subunit ribosomal RNA", at positions 338 to 795 of the family's 1533-position model. The record is from RNAcentral.